UGAGGAUGGUCUCUGCCUGGCUGCCUCUUGUGCUGACAGGAAGAACAAAGAGAUGGCUGGCAGUGGAUCAAGAGGCUCUUGGUCAGGACGGUUGACUCUGCAGCCCCCUAAGCUGUUUGGGUAGCCUUCCUUUUGCCUGCUUGCGAAGCAUCUGCGGGUGGGAGAAGGUGCAGAUGAGGCCUUCCUGACAUCCUCAGUUGAAUUUGUGUUGGAAAGGAUCCUCUCCUAAAAGUCAACGUGCUUCUCACUGUUUGCAUCAUUCUCGUCUUUAGUCAUGGAUCAAAAUAGCUUUCUCCAUUGACUGGGGAGUUGCUUGUGUGCUGUUGUGAAUAGACCUGGGACUUGUGGAGUCAAAUGGAAGGAGGAGGAACCCAGUUGAGGCCAUACCAAGGCUGAAGCUCCACCUACAGCUCUGCACAGCACAGCUGGGCCAUACGGCUCAAAGUCUGAGGUUUCAUUGGCUGGGACAUGCAUCACACAGUGCUUCUGGCCUGAAGUCCUGCCUUCCAUGUGGCAAGUUCUGUCAUGUUAAAAGCUGCACCUUUUGGCAUUCUUGGAAUUCUUCCAGCAUCCUGGGGAGGAAGUAUGCAGACCGAAGAACACAGGAAGCUGCCUUAUACCGAGUUGGACCGUUGGCCCAUCUGGCUCAGUAUUGUCUGCCCUGAGUGACGGCGGCAUUCCAAGGUUGCAGGCAGGAGUCUCUCCCAGCCCUACCUGUUGGACUCUCUGCAUGCAAAGGAGAUAAUGCUCCACCACUGAGCUGUGGGCUCAUUUCCGCCCCCACAUCGGAAUAUCUUGCAGCAGACGGUGCUUGCGUGUCGUUGCCUAUCCAAAUGCAAACCCAGGUGAAUCCUGCUUAACAAAGGGAAAAAUUCAUGCUUGCUAUUGCCAGACUGGCUCUCCACCACAGAGAAGAUACAGGAGAAUUCACAGAGGUCCUGAAGGAGGGAAUGCCGGCUUAGCUCCUGUUCUGUGGCUCCUAGACGCAUGCUCCUCCACUGACUUCCGAUUUUUUCAUGCCUAUACCUUUGUACCAUCUCAGUAGCCAUCUCUGCAUUCUACAGAUGCUACCAGUGUUAGCACUGGAAGCUGAAUUCCUUCCUGUUACAACACUUCUGGACAUUACUUGAAGCAAGCUGGAACCCAGAAUCACUAGACAGUGUCAAAGGCAAACAAUA
Molecule: long non-coding RNA, 1178 nt
Organism: Hemicordylus capensis (graceful crag lizard)
Lineage: Eukaryota; Metazoa; Chordata; Lepidosauria; Squamata; Cordylidae
Exons: 3
Source: RefSeq, a predicted model, not a curated record